AUUCAAAGGUCUCCAGUUCCAGCCUCCCUGCUACUAGAUCAGGUUGCCCAAACCCCAUCUAGCCUGACCUUGGGCACUGCCUGGGUUGGGGCACCCACAGCUCCUCUGGGCAGUCUGGGCCAGGGCCUCACAGCCCUCGCUGUGAAACAUUCCUUCCUUAAGUCUCAAGGAAGAGAUAACUUUCUAAGUCCUACAGACCCCAUCAGGCAGGCAACAAGAAGAGGGUUAAUGCUCCUCUUCUCUUGGCAGAGAGCACCUCACAGCUGCCUGCCCUCAUUUCAGAGAUUGCCAGGGAACCCAGCCACAGGGGAAGGAGGAGGAAGGGGAGGCUGUGCCUUGGCCCAGCUGGAGUGAGUUGCUGUGCCCCAAGGGAGCUAUAAAGCUCCUCUGGUGAGGCUGGCACUUCUCCUGGUUUAGCUCUGCAGCCAGAGCUUUUCUCUGAGAAAGAUGAUGAACCUUUACGGGAAAAGAAGGCUUCAGUGUCAAGAGUGAAUGAUUUUGUUUUAUGAGUGGUUUUUGUUCAUCUUUGUUCUGCCCUUGGCUAAAGGGCUGGCCUGCUGGUAAUCUGCAAUCCCAUGGCAUCUGCUUUCAAGGGCGGUCAGUAAAUCUUUUUAAUUCUUUUCCCUGCUUUAUAAUAAUGGCUAGUUUUUGUUGGUACCAAGUGCUCGUUACACCAACCAGGUGUGUGCAAAAGCAGCAGUUGUGUUACAUGUGGAUGUGUCCCAUCUGUGUGCUCCGGAACUGCAUCUCUGAUUGCUCGCUCUUACUUCAGAGCCUCAGACCGAAAAUCCUAUAUUAACCUGUUUUGUACAGAUUUUAAUUUUUAGUGGAUCAGGGAAAUCCAGUUUCAAACAGUUCAAACAACAUUUGAAUAUUUUUCAAUAUAGUCUUUUCUCUUUUGUUCAACAAAAGAUACUUGGCAUGAAUUCAUAGUCAUAGGACUCCUGGAAGCAUAUUUUGGGGCAAACAAUAUUCAGAUGAAGGAGUAGCUUGUUUCUAACAGAAGUAAACUGCUAUGUUACACUUGUUAGGAUGCAUUUGUAUGCUGUUUGCUUCUGGGGAUCUGAAAUUUCAUGGGAAUGCAGUGAGAAUGAUUAAAAAUUAAACUUUGUAACUGCUUUAUAUGUUUGGCAUUAAUAUCAUCUUUCAUUGUUUUCUAAUAGUGAUAAUUAGGUGUUGCAUUACUCUAGGGUAAGCCUUGUAGCACCCCUGGGAAGGCUUUUAUGCACAAUAUAAAUACUACUGUGCACAUAAAACUAAAUUUUGUUGAGAAACAUCCUCCGUUGGCUUUGCUUUCUUAAUGUUUGCUUUCACCCUUUUCCUCCAGACCCAGAAGAUUCUUUUAGAAUUUCCCUUUAUCAGCUUCUUUUUAUUCCUUCUCCACCUGAGCUGCCAUUUAUCUCAGACCUUUCAUUCUGCACCAGUGUCAUCCUCACCACAUGGGUGGACUUAACCAAGCAGUUAAUGCUAUUACAGUGCUGGAUCCUCCUGUACUGGGCUGUUAGUGCACAUCAGCAUCAGCAGGGACGGGAGUCUGACAAGCACGUGGGAACUGUCACAUAGGGACCAAUGUCUGUUGGUCUGUAACUGAUAUGCUCUCAGUGUCCUGUUAGAAUAAAUGACUGUAGAGGCAAUCUCUCCCCA
RNAcentral lists this long non-coding RNA (1644 nucleotides) under Anas platyrhynchos platyrhynchos (common mallard). Its description in RNAcentral is "lncRNA (ENSAPLG00000019892.1)". The record is from RNAcentral. Lineage: Eukaryota; Metazoa; Chordata; Aves; Anseriformes; Anatidae.